GUAGGUGGCAAGCGUUAGCCGGAUUUACUGGGUGUAAAGGGCGUGUAGGCGGGACUGUAAGUCAGAUGUGAAAUCCAUGGGCUCAACCUGGGGCUGGCAUUUGAAACUGUAGUUCUUGAGUACGGGAGAGGCUAGC
Molecule: ribosomal RNA, 136 nt
Filed under: Campylobacter jejuni
Lineage: Bacteria; Pseudomonadati; Campylobacterota; Epsilonproteobacteria; Campylobacterales; Campylobacteraceae
Description: partial 16S ribosomal RNA
Rfam family: Bacterial small subunit ribosomal RNA
Source: RNAcentral